This 324-nucleotide ribosomal RNA is filed under the name Triticum aestivum (bread wheat). RNAcentral's name for it is "partial small subunit ribosomal RNA". Lineage: Eukaryota; Viridiplantae; Streptophyta; Magnoliopsida; Poales; Poaceae. The record is from RNAcentral.
AUGUUUGAUUGGCAGGAUGGUAGGGUGGACAAGAAACAAGUGGAGGAAGAAGAACUUGAGAAGAAGAAGAAGGAGCUAGAGGAGAAAGCCAUGUUGGAGGUGCAGAUGGAAAAGCUCAAACUUGCAAAAGAGCAGAGGUGCAUUUUGCAGAGCCAAGCUGAUAUCAUCAAGAACACUAGGAAGGCUAUGAAGGAUGUUGAAGUUGACAGAGAUGUUCUUAAGAAGGAGAAGGCAAUGCUUGAGCUUCUUGUUGCUGAGAUGCUGAAUGAUGGGUAUGGCAGCAAGGAGAAGUUAGAGCAAAUCAAGGCCAUCCUUGAGACUUGA